Molecule: non-coding RNA, 76 nt
Filed under: Geoalkalibacter subterraneus
Lineage: Bacteria; Pseudomonadati; Thermodesulfobacteriota; Desulfuromonadia; Desulfuromonadales; Geoalkalibacteraceae
Source: RNAcentral
AAGCGAAACGUGAGGCCGCAUUUUGCGACCUCACGUCUGCCGGGCGUGGCGACCCGGUACUGACGAGCAGCCAUAA